AUUUAAACCAAUCAAGUUGACCAUGUCAUAUACUCUUUUUUCAUUGGCCAAUGAGUAAAUGAAUUCACACGGCAAUUGUUGAUGUCAAUUUGUAUGUACCACAUUAGAGACUGUAUCGAUUUUUCGGUUCAAACAUUACCUGUGUACAUGCAGACAUUUAAAAUUUGAGGUGUUAAGAGGGUUGUAUUUUGUUUAUUCGUAUGGCAUAUACGUGGAUAGUUUCAUUUUCAUUAUUUU
Molecule: long non-coding RNA, 237 nt
Filed under: Mytilus galloprovincialis (Mediterranean mussel)
Lineage: Eukaryota; Metazoa; Mollusca; Bivalvia; Mytilida; Mytilidae
Source: RNAcentral